AAUCUACCCUCAAGCGGGGGAUAACUAAGGGGAACUUUAGCUAAUACCGCAUAAUCUCGAAAGAGAAAAGCUGCCCGCAAGGGUGGCACUUGAGGAGGAGCCUGCGUCCGAUUAGCUAGUUGGCAGGGUAAAAGCCUACCAAGGCGAUGAUCGGUAACUGGUCUGAGAGGACGACCAGUCACACUGGGACUGAGACACGGCCCAGACUCCUACGGGAGGCAGCAGUGGGGAAUAUUGGACAAUGGGGGCAACCCUGAUCCAGCGAUGCCGCGUGAGU
This 277-nucleotide ribosomal RNA is filed under the name uncultured bacterium. RNAcentral's name for it is "partial 16S ribosomal RNA". It matches the Rfam family "Bacterial small subunit ribosomal RNA", at positions 123 to 406 of the family's 1533-position model. The record is from RNAcentral.